Molecule: ribosomal RNA, 253 nt
Filed under: uncultured bacterium
Lineage: Bacteria
Description: partial 16S ribosomal RNA
Rfam family: Bacterial small subunit ribosomal RNA
Source: RNAcentral
UACGGGGGGUGCAAGCGUUAAUCGGAAUUACUGGGCGUAAAGGGUGCGUAGGUGGUUUAAUAAGUUAGCUGUGAAAGCCCUGGGCUCAACCCGGGAAUGUCAGUUAAGACUGUUGGACUCGAGUAUAGGAGAGGGUAGUGGAAUUUCCGGUGUAGCGGUGAAAUGCGUAGAGAUCUGGAGGAAUACCGGUGGCGAAGGCGGCAUCCUGGACCGGCAUUGACGCUGAGGAGCGAAAGCUAGGGGAGCAAACGGG